AUCUUUUUAGUACAAUAAGUAUAAUUGGCCUCCAACCAAGAGAUUAAAAUAAAUUUAAAAAGAUA
Molecule: transfer RNA, 65 nt
Filed under: Limois sp. WW-2021a
Lineage: Eukaryota; Metazoa; Arthropoda; Insecta; Hemiptera; Fulgoridae
Description: tRNA-Gly
Source: RNAcentral